GACGAACGCUGGCGGCGUGCCUAAUACAUGCAAGUAGAACGCUGAAGAGAGGAGCUUGCUCUUCUUGGAUGAGUUGCGAACGGGUGAGUAACGCGUAGGUAACCUGCCUUGUAGCGGGGGAUAACUAUUGGAAACGAUAGCUAAUACCGCAUAACAAUGGAUGACCCAUGUCAUUUAUUUGAAAGGGGCAAAUGCUCCACUACAAGAUGGACCUGCGUUGUAUUAGCUAGUAGGUGAGGUAACGGCUCACCUAGGCGACGAUACAUAGCCGACCUGAGAGGGUGAUCGGCCACACUGGGACUGAGACACGGCCCAGACUCCUACGGGAGGCAGCAGUAGGGAAUCUUCGGCAAGGGGGGCAACCCUGACCGAGCAACGCCGCGUGAGUGAAGAAGGGUUUCGGAUCGUAAAGCUCUGUUGUAAGUCAAGAACGAGUGUGAGAGUGGAAAGUUCACACUGUGACGGUAGCUUACCAGAAAGGGACGGCUAACUACGUG
This 497-nucleotide ribosomal RNA is filed under the name uncultured bacterium. RNAcentral's name for it is "partial 16S ribosomal RNA". It matches the Rfam family "Bacterial small subunit ribosomal RNA", at positions 28 to 507 of the family's 1533-position model. The record is from RNAcentral.